RNAcentral lists this ribosomal RNA (457 nucleotides) under uncultured bacterium. RNAcentral describes it as "bacterial SSU rRNA". It matches the Rfam family "Bacterial small subunit ribosomal RNA", at positions 340 to 786 of the family's 1533-position model. The record is from RNAcentral.
UACGGAAGGCAGCAGUGGGGAAUAUUGCACAAUGGGCGAAAGCCUGAUGCAGCUAUGCCGCGUGUAUGAAGAAGGCCUUAGGGUUGUAAAGUACUUUCAUCGGGGAGGAAAAAACAAAACUAAUAAUUUUAUUUCUUGACGUUACCCGAAAAAGAAGCACCGGCUAACUCCGUGCCAGCAGCCGCGGUAAUACGGAGGGUGCUAGCGUUAAUCAGAAUUACUGGGCGUAAAGAGCACGUAGGUGGUUUUUUUAAAGUCAGAUGUGAAAUCCCUGGGCUUAACCUGGAACUGCAUUUUGAAACUGAAAUACUAGAGUAUCGUAGAGGGAGGUAGAAUUCUAGGUGUAGCGGUGAAAUGCGUAGAUAUCUGGAGGAAUACCUGUGGCGAAAGCGGCCUCCUAAACGAAUACUGACACUGAGGGUGCGAAAGCGUGGGGAGCAAACGAGGAUUAGAUACC